RNAcentral lists this ribosomal RNA (102 nucleotides) under Escherichia coli. The record is from RNAcentral. RNAcentral also lists the same sequence under 3 other names. Lineage: Bacteria; Pseudomonadati; Pseudomonadota; Gammaproteobacteria; Enterobacterales; Enterobacteriaceae.
CGCGGUGGUCCCACCUGACCCCAUGCCGAACUCAGAAGUGAAACGCCGUAGCGCCGAUGGUAGUGUGGGGUUUCCCCAUGCGAGAGUAGGGAACUGCCAGGC